GAUGAACGCUGGCGGCAUGCCUAAUACAUGCAAGUCGAACGAGAGGAAGGAAAGCUUGCUUUUCUGAAUCUAGUGGCGAACGGGUGAGUAACACGUAGGUAACCUGCCCAUGUGCCCGGGAUAACUUCUGGAAACGGAUGCUAAAACCGGAUAGGUAGCAGACAAGCAUUUGACUGCUAUUAAAGUGGCUAAGGCCAUGAACAUGGAUGGACCUGCGGUGCAUUAGCUAGUUGGUGAGGUAACGGCUCACCAAGGCGACGAUGCAUAGCCGGCCUGAGAGGGCGGACGGCCACAUUGGGACUGAGACACGGCCCAAACUCCUACGGGAGGCAGCAGUAGGGAAUUUUCGUCAAUGGGGGGAACCCUGAACGAGCAAUGCCGCGUGAGUGAGGAAGGUCUUCGGAUCGUAAAGCUCUGUUGUAAGAGAAAAACGACAUUCAUAGGGAAUGAUGAGUGAGUGAUGGUAUCUUACCAGAAAGUCACGGCUAAAUACGUGCCAGCCGCCGCGGUAA
Molecule: ribosomal RNA, 512 nt
Filed under: uncultured bacterium
Lineage: Bacteria
Description: partial 16S ribosomal RNA
Rfam family: Bacterial small subunit ribosomal RNA
Source: RNAcentral